UCUGGUCAGAACGAACGCUGGCGGCAGGCCUAACACAUGCAAGUCGAGCGAGAAGGGCUCGGCCUGAGUAGAGCGGCGCACGGGUGAGUAACACGUGAAUAAUCUGCCCCUAGACCGGGAUAACAGACCGAAAGGACUGCUAAUACCGGAUAAGCCCACGUCCCAACCGGGGAUGCGGGAAAAGCACGGGACCGCAAGGCCGUGCGCUUUGGGAUGAGUUCGCGUUCCAUUAGAUAGUUGGUGAGGUAAUGGCUCACCAAGUCGACGAUGGAUAGCUGGCUUAGAGGAUGAUCAGCCACACUGGAACUGAGACACGGUCCAGACUCCUACGGGAGGCAGCAGUGGGGAAUCUUGCGCAAUGGGGGAAACCCUGACGCAGCCAUGCCGCCGUGAGCGAUGAAGGCCUUCGGGUUGUAAAGCUCCGUCUAAGGGGACGAAUGGCGUCGUGAACAAGACACACGGCGAUUGACGGUACCCUUAAAGAAAACACCGGCUAACUCCGUGCCAGCCGCCGC
This 515-nucleotide ribosomal RNA is filed under the name uncultured bacterium. Its description in RNAcentral is "bacterial SSU rRNA". It matches the Rfam family "Bacterial small subunit ribosomal RNA", at positions 19 to 518 of the family's 1533-position model. The record is from RNAcentral.